UACGUAGGGGGCAAGCGUUGUCCGGAAUCAUUGGGCGUAAAGCGCGUGUAGGCGGCUUGAUAAGUCUGCUCUGAAAGCCCGGGGCUCAACCUCGGAACUGCCUUCAAUACUGGCUAUCUUGAGUACGGGAGGAGGUGUGUGGAACUCCGAGUGUAGAGGUGAAAUUCGUAGAUAUUCGGAAGAACACCAGUGGCGAAGGCGACACACUGGCCCGUUACUGACGCUGAGGCGCGAAAGCGUGGGGAGCAAACAGG
Molecule: ribosomal RNA, 254 nt
Filed under: uncultured bacterium
Lineage: Bacteria
Description: partial 16S ribosomal RNA
Rfam family: Bacterial small subunit ribosomal RNA
Source: RNAcentral